Molecule: long non-coding RNA, 862 nt
Organism: Lytechinus variegatus (green sea urchin)
Lineage: Eukaryota; Metazoa; Echinodermata; Echinoidea; Temnopleuroida; Toxopneustidae
Exons: 5
Source: RefSeq, a predicted model, not a curated record
GUACAAGAUACCGGCACAUGUAAAGCGCAUGCGUACGCGUGCGCAGUGCUAUGCUAGUGGUCGGAAGAUGGCGUUGAGUAUGUUCGACUCGGAGACUGCUGCAGUGCACUGGAAAAAUCGUGUUUAAUCUCCGUUUUAGAAAAUGAAAGAUUUGGGGGUGACAAACCUGCUUCAGGAGUGGGACUUCCCACAUUUAGUUCCAAUCUUUAGAGUUAAAUGUUGCAGAAGAUGAGCACGAAGAAGACACCUACUGGAUGCAAUAUUACUCAUCACCUGACAACAUUGUUGUUAAUGUGACGAACCUCGGUACUGAGAUAUGAGUUGACUAGAGGAAACCCGCGACCAAGCACAGCAGAAAUUCUUGACAAAUAUCUACAGCUUUUGGGAAUGAUUGAUCAAGACUUUGAUUUAACAAUUGAUGCAGCUCCUGGUGCCCUUUUCACAAUGUGGCCAAAGUUGUCCAGGCAGACUUUGGAAUUUGCGGAGAAGAUUAAUCCAGGGUAUAGAAAGAUCCUAGGGGCUGGAGUGGACCAGAAAAUGACGCAGAGUCAACAAUGAAGAAAAUUUGGCUUUCAGUACUUCCUGGGAUUUUGAUCGGCAGAACGAAAGGGGAAUGAGGCAAAUUAAAUGUGCCGUACUUCAAAGUCUUGAAUCUUUCAUCAAUCUCCAAUUAGAAGGAGCAUGAAGAAAAAGAAGAUGAACAGGAAUUGACAAUGGCGCGUUCCAUACCUGGGAGUGAUUGCACAGUGGCACCCUUGGACCUAAUUUCACCCUGACAUCAAGUUGGUUUUAAGGAGAACCAUGAGAGAAAUUAAUAAAUUAAAGUUUGCCGAAUAUCAAAGAAUAACAGAGUUAUGAGGCU